Non-coding RNA from Morus notabilis, 87 nucleotides. Lineage: Eukaryota; Viridiplantae; Streptophyta; Magnoliopsida; Rosales; Moraceae. The record is from Rfam.
UGGCGAUGAUUAUUUCUUACCCGCGCUUCUGAGUUGAAUCUAUGAAGCAUAAACUUGAAUAAUGGUUGAAUUUCUUGAUAUGAGCCA